AGUUUCAUAGUUUAAUUUAAAAUACCAGGCUGCAAUCCUGAAGAUACAUCUGAUGUUGAGACUU
Molecule: transfer RNA, 64 nt
Filed under: Squilla mantis
Lineage: Eukaryota; Metazoa; Arthropoda; Malacostraca; Stomatopoda; Squillidae
Description: tRNA-Cys
Source: RNAcentral